RNAcentral lists this ribosomal RNA (1501 nucleotides) under metagenome. RNAcentral describes it as "bacterial LSU rRNA". It matches the Rfam family "Bacterial large subunit ribosomal RNA", at positions 1279 to 2910 of the family's 2925-position model. The record is from RNAcentral.
AGAUCAGAAGCGAGAAUGUUGACAUAAGUAGCGAUAAAGAGGGUGAGAGACCCUCUCGCCGAAAGUCCAAGGGUUCCUGCUUAAAGCUAAUCUGAGCAGGGUAAGCCGGCCCCUAAGGCGAGGCCGAAAGGCGUAGUCGAUGGGAACCACGUUAAUAUUCGUGGGCCAGUGAGAAGUGACGGAUCUUUGAAGUUGUCUGCCCUUAUCGGAUUGGGUGGGCAGCCGCGAGGUCCCUGGAAAUAGCCUCACAUCAGACCGUACCCUAAACCGACACAGGUGGACUGGUAGAGUAUACCAAGGCGCUUGAGAGAACCACAUCAAAGGAACUCGGCAAAUUACCUCCGUAAGUUCGCGAUAAGGAGGCCCCAUAUGUACGCAAGUAUGUGUGGGGGGCACAAACUAGGGGGUGGCGACUGUUUACUUAAAACACAGGGCUGUGCGAAGCCGUAAGGCGACGUAUACAGUCUGACGCCUGCCCGGUGCUGGAAGGUUAAAAGGAGGGGUGCAAGCUCUGAAUUGAAGCCCCAGUAAACGGCGGCCGUAACAAUAACGGUCCUAAGGUAGCGAAAUUCCUUGUCGGGUAAGUUCCGACCUGCACGAAUGGCGUAACGAUCUCCCCGCUGUCUCUGAUGUGGACACAGCGAAAUUGAACUGUCUGUCAAGAUGCAGACUUCCCGCGGUUAGACGGAAAGACCCCAUGAACCUUUACUCUAGCUUUGCACUGGUAUCAGGAAUGUGAUGUGCAGGAUAGGUGGUAGGCAUCGAAGCGGGGACGCUAGUCUUCGUGGAGCCUCCCUUGAGAUACCACCCUUCGCAUUCUUGAUAUCUAACCGCGGCCCGUUAUCCGGGUCCGGGACCCUGCAUGGUGGGGAGUUUGACUGGGGCGGUCGCCUCCUAAACAGUAACGGAGGCGCGCGAUGGUGGGCUCAGACCGGUCGGAAAUCGGUCGUUGAGUGCAAUGGCAGAAGCCCGCCUGACUGCAAGACUGACAAGUCGAGCAGAGACGAAAGUCGGUCAUAGUGAUCCGGUGGUCCCUUGGGUGGGCCAUCGCUCAACGGAUAAAAGGUACUCUGGGGAUAACAGGCUGAUGAUGCCCAAGAGUCCAUAUCGACGGCACCGUUUGGCACCUCGAUGUCGGCUCAUCUCAUCCUGGGGCUGGAGCAGGUCCCAAGGGUAUGGCUGUUCGCCAUUUAAAGAGGUACGUGAGCUGGGUUUAGAACGUCGUGAGACAGUUCGGUCCCUAUCUGCCGUGGGUGCAGGAGACUUGAGAAGAGUUGACCCUAGUACGAGAGGACCGGGUUGAACGAACCACUGGUGGACCAGUUAUCGUGCCAACGGUAGUGCUGGGUAGCUAUGUUCGGACAGGAUAACCGCUGAAGGCAUCUAAGCGGGAAGCCCCCUUCAAAACAAGGUCUCCCUUGAGAGCCGUGGAAGACCACCACGUCGAUAGGCUAGAGGUGUAAGAGCGGUAACGCUUUCAGCUGACUGGUACUAAUUGCUU